CCGGCCGGGCCGCUGCAGGCCGCGCGGGGAGGGCGGCUCCGGUGUCGGUGUCGGAGCGCUGGGGUGAGAAAAUAAUUACAAAUGAAAGAGAGAUUAGCAGGGGCUGUUGCGACAAAUGCUGCCGAAAUGGUUUCUGGAGCGCCGGCGGAACCUUCUAACGGGAGGGAUCGGAGCAGCUGCCGUCCCGUGGGGCGUGGGGAAACAGGGAUCCCUCUGGGACCCCGGAAUGAGAGCCUAAAACCUGACAAACCGCGGCUCAGGGGGAUGAGAUGUCAGACCAGGGCAGCCUCACGUCAUACAAAUGGACUGACUCUCAGUUUUGCCUGGUGAGAGGAGAUACUGCCCGUGUCACUGUCAGAAAUAGUACAGGACAAGGAGAAAUGUUUUGGUAAAACUACCCACUGCAUCUGACCCUGCUGGGCCUUCGCAGCUUUGUGUCUCCAGUAACUUCACAGUCCCUCAGAGAUGUUUCUUCCACUCUAGGUGUUGAUGAUGAAGGUGUCUCCACCAAAAUGCCUCUUGUUUAUUGGUGACAUGGGUAUGGACAGCGGGGCCCAGCCCUGCUGGAGAGGUGACAUUCCUGCAUCUGCCACUGCGAUGUGCACUUGCUCCAUCACUGCGGAAUGGCAGCUGGAAGGAGGGGGAAAAUCCCCAAAUCCAACCUCCCAGGAUGAGAAGAUUUAAUUUUGGCUAGCUCCCGGGGACAAUAUUGACGGCACAGCCCUAAGGGCCACCCAGCUCCCUGCACCUCUCCCAGGUGGCUCACUCUCCACGUGAGGUGGUUUCGGGGAGCAUUUAAUUGCCUUCCUGCUUUUUUUUUUCACUCCACUUCAGCUGUGAGUUGUUUUUUUACCCUGUUAAAAUUUCCCAUGGAGUUUUACCCUCUUUGGGGUCCCUUUUGGGUGCUGUUGCUGUCACUUUUAUCCCUCACCACCUCUCCCUGCACCUCUCUCUCUGUUGUCUGUCACUGUUUCCUCACCCUCUGCCUUCUCCUUCCUUUCCAUUACUCUUCUCUGGAUACAUAAUUUUCCUUUUAAUGAUCUUCUGUCCCUUAUUAAUGCUUUUUCCAUGUCCAAGCACGCUCCAGCCCUGGCAUCCAGCUGGGACUGAUGCAGUUGGAAUCACAUCGUGGCUGAGCUCUCCCUGCUUUCAUUUCAUUCUCUCCUAUUCUUACCCAGCUGGGGUCUCAGAUCUGUUCAUGGGGGGAUGUAACAGAAGCCUUUGGGGUUUCCCUUUGCUUAUGUCUGCCUUCCUUUCCAAGCUGUGCCCCAAAGCAAUCCCUUUCCAGCCUGGCUGUGCACGGAUGCUGUGUGCUCCCCACAGCUGCAGAUGUGCCGUAUCGGAUUUAUUCACCUCCUCCUUUUGCCAUCUGGCAAACUCCUUCCUGGACAUCUUUGUGAGGGAACAGAGUGUUUGCAAGAAUUAGGUCACAUUUGGGCAGAGUUUAAAGGGUCCCUUGCCAUCCCCUUUGUUUUUUUCCCAAUCUGUACCUCCCCAGGGCUGUAUUUCCAUUGCUGAAGGUCAAUAAAUAUCCUACCCACAAAUAUCCUCCCUAUCCCACAGUGUGUGGGGAAUAAAGCUGCCCAUGGAGAGGGAUAAAUUUAGGUGAUGGUGCUUUGGAGCAGCUGCAGGUCUCUGCCCCUUCCCCUGUUCCAAGGUACUUCAGCAUCACUGGAGAUCUGGGUUGCACGCGAUGGGUGAGUGCUCAGUGACAAACAGCCCUGAGAUGGGAGGAUGCUCUGAAGGGAUCCUUCCCUGGGUGCCAGGAAGGCUGAGGGAGAUUCCACCGGGAGGUGGCUCACUUAGAAAUGGGAGGAUGUAGAUACAAACCCAUUUUCCUGCAGACCCAUUGCCUACAGUGGGUGCUGCAUCCCACAGCACCUGCUCCUUUAGGAAGGUUUCGUGGGUGCAGGAGGAGGGGAAGGAACACAAGGUGUCAUUAUUUCAGCUGGAAAACACAUCGAUAUCCCAGUGAGGGAGCAGGUAAAUAUCUGUGCCUGGCCAGUGUUCCAGCUUGCUUUCCCAUUUUCCUGCCUCUGCAGAUUGCAGGCAGCUUGUGCACUCAUCCCUCCGGAUG
Long non-coding RNA from Neopelma chrysocephalum (saffron-crested tyrant-manakin), 2077 nucleotides. RefSeq lists it as uncharacterized. The transcript has 3 exons. The record is from RefSeq and is a predicted model, not a curated record. Lineage: Eukaryota; Metazoa; Chordata; Aves; Passeriformes; Pipridae.